Molecule: small RNA, 114 nt
Filed under: uncultured eukaryote
Lineage: Eukaryota
Description: partial transfer-messenger RNA
Source: RNAcentral
UAGUAUCGCCAAACUUGAAUAAAAUAUAAGCGCAAAUAAAUAAAUUAAUUAAAUAAAUACAUACAAAAAUGGUGUUUUUUCAACUUUUGGGCACCCGGCCGUCUACGUAUUUAA